This 410-nucleotide long non-coding RNA is filed under the name Rattus norvegicus (Norway rat). RNAcentral's name for it is "long non-coding RNA NONRATT032013". Lineage: Eukaryota; Metazoa; Chordata; Mammalia; Rodentia; Muridae. The record is from RNAcentral.
CUCCUCGUGGUGCUGUGCUCCCUAACUCACCGCUGCUCAGCUGCUGUUUCCAAAAACAGACUGUUUUUGAUGGAAAACACAGCUACAUUCAGAAUCAUGGCUUUCCUCCCCGCUGAACUGUCUUCUCCUUAACCAACCCCGGCCAGAAGGCUCUUUCCUAAUGGAAAUGCUGGAACCACUUACAGCAGUGAAGAUGCUAAGCUGCUGGGAGAGUGCAUCUCGGAAGACAGCUGAGGGAGCGAACGGACGCAGACAGGAUGGGAGACGAUGGCACUGAUUUGAGAGAGCACUAAGAUCGAACGUCACUGAGACAUAACUAUGAGUCCAUGAUCCUUUGGGGGCAGCAAAGAGUUAAUAAGAAUCGAUCGCCUUUGGAAUUUUGUAAAAAAUUAAAAAUUUUAAGUGAGCGC